Molecule: transfer RNA, 72 nt
Organism: Thelohanellus kitauei
Lineage: Eukaryota; Metazoa; Cnidaria; Myxozoa; Bivalvulida; Myxobolidae
Rfam family: tRNA
About the family: Transfer RNA (tRNA) molecules are approximately 80 nucleotides in length. Their secondary structure includes four short double-helical elements and three loops (D, anti-codon, and T loops).
Source: Rfam
UCCCAGUUAGUAUAGUGGUGAGUAUCCCCGCCUGUCACGCGGGAGACCGGGGUUCGAACCCCCGACUGGGCG